This 459-nucleotide ribosomal RNA is filed under the name uncultured bacterium. RNAcentral describes it as "partial 16S ribosomal RNA". It matches the Rfam family "Bacterial small subunit ribosomal RNA", at positions 338 to 795 of the family's 1533-position model. The record is from RNAcentral.
CCUACGGGUGGCAGCAGUGAGGAAUAUUGGUCAAUGGGAGAGAUCCUGAACCAGCCAAGCCGCGUGAGGGAAGACGGCCCUAUGGGUUGUAAACCUCUUUUGUCGGAGAACAAAACCCGGGACGUGUCCCGGACUGCGUGUAUCCGAAGAAAAAGCAUCGGCUAACUCCGUGCCAGCAGCCGCGGUAAUCAGGAGGAUGCGAGCGUUAUCCGGAUUUAUUGGGUUUAAAGGGGGCGUGGGCGGUCCGUUAAGUCAGCGGGAAAAUGGCGGGGCUCAACCCCGUCGAGCCGUUGAAACUGGCAGACUUGAGUUGGCGAGAAGUACGCGGAAUGCGCGGGGUAGCGGUGAAAUGCUUAGAUAUCACGAAGAACUCCGAUUGCGAAGGCAGUUCACUGGACUGCAACUGACACUGAGGCUCGAAAGUGUGGGUAUCAAACAGGAUUAGAUACCCUUGUAGUC